Molecule: long non-coding RNA, 552 nt
Filed under: Trifolium pratense (red clover)
Lineage: Eukaryota; Viridiplantae; Streptophyta; Magnoliopsida; Fabales; Fabaceae
Description: long non-coding RNA (TPRA_LNC011492)
Source: RNAcentral
AAAAAAAAAAUCCAAAUUGUGCUAAGGGCUUUUAUUCUCGUGUGUCUUCGCUGGUUUCAUUCAAAUCGUACGCGACUCAGAUACCGUAUUCUUCUAAAUUCUCAUAAAGGUUCGUCUUUUUCUUCAUUCUCUUCAAUUCAUCAAUUACUAAUUAGGUUUUUCUCUGCAACAUCUCUCUAUAUUUUUGUUUCUUUUACAAUUUUUUGUUUCACAUGUAUAAUUUUUUUGGGGGAUUUUCUCGUAUUGUGGCUUUUUUCUUGUAACCAUGUUAGCUUAAUUACAAUAAUCAAUGAAUUGGGUGUUUUUGUUCUAUAUUAUAUACCAAUUUUCAUUGUCAAAAUGCCAGCUUUUUAGAAUUUUCAUUGUCAGAAUGCCAGUUUUUUGUAAUUGUUGUGAUAAUUGUUGUGAUGUGAUGGUGUAUGUGUUUUCCUUUUUAGGUAACUUGAAAUGGGAUCAAGACACCGUGUUCACAGAGAAACGAUGAAUCCUCGAAGAGGGUAUCCAUCGGAAGGGCCUUAUGCUCGCGGACCACCAAUUCAACGGCCGCAUAUU